This 89-nucleotide unclassified non-coding RNA is filed under the name Pseudomonas sp. B10. Lineage: Bacteria; Pseudomonadati; Pseudomonadota; Gammaproteobacteria; Pseudomonadales; Pseudomonadaceae. The record is from RNAcentral.
UGUGUGAGCGAGCCUGCUCGCGAAAGCGGUUUAUCAGUGCCAUCAAUGCACGCUGACACACCGCUUUCGCGAGCAGGCUCGCUCCCACA